This 253-nucleotide ribosomal RNA is filed under the name uncultured bacterium. Its description in RNAcentral is "partial 16S ribosomal RNA". It matches the Rfam family "Bacterial small subunit ribosomal RNA", at positions 524 to 776 of the family's 1533-position model. The record is from RNAcentral.
UACGUAGGGGGCAAGCGUUGUCCGGAUUUAUUGGGCGUAAAGAGCGUGUAGGCGGCCAGACAAGUUCUGCUGUGAAAACUCGAGGCUCAACCUCGAGCUGUCGGUGGAAACUGUCUGGCUAGAGUCCGGAAGAGGAGAGUGGAAUUCCUGGUGUAGCGGUGAAAUGCGCAGAUAUCAGGAGGAACACCAAUUGCGAAGGCAGCUCGCUGGGACGUACUGACGCUGAGACGCGAAGCGUGGGGGAGCAAACAGG